This is a long non-coding RNA of Gallus gallus (chicken), 4696 nucleotides long. RefSeq lists it as uncharacterized. The record is from RefSeq and is a predicted model, not a curated record. Lineage: Eukaryota; Metazoa; Chordata; Aves; Galliformes; Phasianidae. The transcript is spliced from 6 exons.
AACAGAAGGAUUUGGCCUUAAGUCAGAAAGAUGAGAUAAACAGGAUGACCAUUAAAACACAAAAACAUGCGCUAUCACCAACUGUGUGAAGAUCAACAUCAGAUUAAAUCCAGUUCAGUGAGUAGUGUUUAUGCAUCUCUCAGCCAGACAGGAUGUUCUACUGAUGUUUCAGACCGGGCUCCUGCUGAGCAGUGUGAAGCACAGGGAUUGCAUCUCACUGUGCAAUUUUCUUUUUGUCACCUUGAAAGUGCUUCUGUAUGCAAGGCUGGAACAAGGGUCAGCAGAUGUUGUGGCCUCGUUUCAAGGAAUCUUCAACGCUUCUACUUUCUUCAUCUUCUAAGCCUUUAAGAACUCGUCAGCCGCUUGAUAAUUCAGCACACAGAGCACCACCCUUAAGGGAAGAAAGGUGUUUCAGAGCCUCCCUGAUUCAGACAAACCAAGUGUCGCUACCUCUGAAUUUCUGCUGCAUGUUGCCAGCUAUCCACACUGAUGCAUAGCAGGACACGCCGAUGUGAGAGGAAGCAUUCCAGAAACAAUGUAGAUUUUACACUAUCUUUAGACAGGGAUCAGGAGGUCCUGCACUGCAUGUUCCAGCAGUUCCAGAGGCAUAACAAAGUUAAGUGCUGAGUGUGUAGAUUAGAAGAGUGUUAAGUGCUUUCCAUUUGAUACAUAACAGCAGUUACUUCACGGGCUCAGAAGCAUUGAUCAUCUGUCAGUAGGUGACACGAAAGCUGAGCUCAGUCUUCAGAGGUGCUUCUACACUCAGUGUGGUGUUAUGGAGCUCACCUGCUAGAAACUCCUGCUCUGUAAGCUUUAAAUGCCGUCUAAAUGUCCCUUUACCUAAUUAGAGAUAGUGAGAGCAGGAAUUGCCAUCUGCCGGCCGAGCCAGGAAUGAUCUGUGCCUGCAAUUCAUUUCUUCAUCUGUGUGGCUAAAUUUGGAAGUGGAUUCGAGCAUAAGAGAUGGUGUGACGUGAAAGCAGGACAAUGCAGCUUGCAGCCAACUCUGCACACAGUGCAUGGUGCUGCUCAGCCUCGCUCCAGGAAGGGCUGGGGAAAAACAGAGAAGAGAAUAGUUUUUUGGUGAUCUGAGACACCUCUUGAUUUUAUUGAGGUGUUGAUUUAAAAACAGUCAGCAAAAUGAUUGUUCUGUUGUGGAAAUUUUGAACUUUUGAACGAAGUUUGGAUAUUGGGAAAAAUUCCUUCUCAGAAGGAGUGGUGAGGCAGUGGCCCAGGCUGCCCAGAGAGAUGGUGGAGUCACCAUCCCUGAAGGUAUCCAAUAAACAUGGAGAUGUGGCAGUGAGGGAUGUGGUUAGUGGGCAUGGUGGGGAUGGGCUGACCGCUGGGCUAGGUGAUCCUUGGGGUCUUUUCCAACCUUAAUGAUUCUGUGAUUCUACGAAAGUGAUGAGUGGCCUCGGUUAGAAAUUAACUUCUGUGUCUCACAGUGUUUUCUGCAUGAGAAGAGUCAGUGGAAGGUUAUUUGACGACAUCUUCCCUGGCAGCCAUCCACUGCAGGAAGACAACAGAAAAUGGAACCCCACCUCCCCACCUCAUCUCCCCACCUGCAGGCUGAACAGAGGCACCCUCCCAGCCCCUGCCUAUGUGCCGCAGCGUCCUCACAGUCUUCUCCAAUUUGCAAGCAUCCAUUAAGCUCAAGUGCUCAUAUCUACUUCUUUGUCCACAGAGCACUGAGCUCACCCCUGCCUACUGUGAUCUGUGAAGUAUCAAUUCCCAGCCUCCUCAGGUAGGUCUCUUAGAAACCUCAUGCCCACCUCAAAACACCUUUGUUGGCUCUUCCUUGUUAUUGUGCAUAAAUGCAUGACAGCAGAGUUAUUCUUCCUCUACGGCACCAGUCAGGUUGUUUCCUUUGAACAUCCAUCAGUUUAGAAGGGAAUCCUACACAGGCUUCAUAUUCAGGUGCCUUCUGUCUUCUUUUCCUUGUAAGAUUUUAGGGAACAUGACUUCUGUUACAGCUGAUCUGUUUCUCAGGGAUGUAUCAGCCUUACUUCGAGGUACUUUGGCAGCGUCCAAGAGGAGACAAACUGCGAUGGAGACACAGGAGGACUAUUUGCACCACCCAUAGUACACAUGCUCACAUGGAUUAUGUAUGGCUAUGUCAUUAUAUAUAGCUCACAUUUUUUCCACUUCCUUCUCUUUAAUAUUGAAAAUGUCUCUAACAAUUCUGCUCUAGUUUCCUUCAAUUUGACAGCAUCUGGAAUAAGCAACAGUCCUCAGCUUUUGGUUUGUUUGUUUGUUUUUGCUGGCUGGACAACACAGCAGUCAGUGCUGUACCAGCUAUGGCUGGUGCCUGACUUCCCUCUCUUCAGGCUCUCUUCUAACCCUCCCCAGCUACAACCACAUGAGUGGGGGCGGGAAAUCCAUCACAGUCAAACCCAGAAAGCAGUCAGUGAAAACAAAUAAGGUUGCUAAGGAACCGUCCAGAUAAAACUCAAACCCACAAAAUCUGGGCAAUAGAAAGUUGUUCAUGAGCUGACUGCAGACAGAUGCUCAUUCCCCUCAGUGCUCGCUCUGUCAUGUACUAAUACAGACUGAGGCUGUGAUUACUGUGAUACCUGUGUAGGACUAAUUCCCAAAAAUGUGGGAAUUCCAAGAACCCAGCAUACGGCAUCACUCGGUAUUUACCUGUCUCUCCUCCAUCCUUUUUUAAAUCAUACCACACAAAGUGCCAAGUACACGUAUAGUACAGUUAGAAUUCAUUGUGUAACUGCAUCAUUACCUUUAAUCACAGCAGCCUCAUUAGCAAUAGCAGUGAAGGUGCCAGCACAGCAGCACAGCUGUGCAACGUAAGCACACAAACCACAGGGAUGCAGAAGGCACCAAUCCCUGCCCCUGCCUUCCUGCCAGCUCAGCUAAGGACAGUGAGGCCAUGACUCCUCAGAGGCAGCUCCACCUCCGCCCUGCUGUGCAGGUACAGCCUCGGGAAGCACGCCUUGCCACUGGGGAGCUUUUCCUCCAAACCAAACUCAUCUCUGCAGUCCGUAAAUAAAGCUAUCUCCAGUGCAUCACUGGAAGGUAAGGAGAUGAAAAAAGGAGAAGUGAGCAUGCCAGCUGUGCCUUGCCCACACCACAGAGCCCUGGGGGCCAUGUUUAUAUGCUUUCAGACCUAGAGAGCUCCAGACGCAAGGGGCAAUUGCGGUGAGGCCCCUUUUGACAGCUGCCCUGUGAGCACAGCAUGUUCUUUUCCCCACGCACACACCUACAGCGCAGCAUCUGACAAGUUUCCUCAUGCUUUAAAAGACUGUGAGAAAGAACACGUAACUAUGAAGUUGUUAUAUUUAGCCCUCAUAUCUCCACUUACCUUGAGUCAAACCAGAUACUCAAAACCACAGCACUGCCUGCCAUGCAGAGGUGCCAUCUUACACACUGUACAACAGAGAUCACAUUUGCCAUCCGUCUCGUGGCUUAAUCGUUGCUUUGCAGCAAGGCUGAAACUUCUCCAAAAGAAAUGAGGUGAGCUCAGGAUGAAGUCAAGCUAGCAACUCUCUCUUUGCACACUAUGAAACUCACACUGCCCACUUUGCACCAAGACAGCGCCGCUUUGACUAAUACAAAGAACUUACUACGAACUGAACAAAUUUAAAUCCCUGAUAGCAACAUAACCUGAAAACAAUUUGUAUUAAAAAAUACAACACAGCCUAACAAUGAAAAAUAUUUUUAGGGAAAACAUUAUAUAUAUAUCUUUUUUUCUUAGCUAAAUGACCUCAAAAAGACCCCAAACUUUCAAAGCCCUUUCUUUGUCAUGCUGCAAGCUUCAUCAAACUAAGUGCAGCAAGAACACUGCGUGGCAUUUGCACAGCCAGAGUUACAGCUCAGCUCUUACACAAGGACAGCAAAGCUGCCCAACGGUUUCCAUCCAGGAAGGAGAAGACAAGUAAAACUAAACUGUUUCCUUCUGAAGUGACACUUCAGCUGAUGAAACUCUGAGAAAUGAGUAGAAAAGAAAGUACUGAAAAGCACACUUGCAGCACUGCUGUAUUCAUCAUGUACAUAGUGCACAUAUUUAUAAGAACUACAGAAUCCUCCCCAACUCACAAGCAUAAACUCUGGAAAGAAGCAGCUCUCAAACGCAGGUAAGAGGAGACUUGUGCCUUUCAUGGUUGCUUCACAUACUGUAAAAUGAAGCAUGGUAGAAAUACUUAAGAUCAGCAAAAAUACGAACUUACCUUUGGCUCCUUCCAUUCUGGGCACAAAUGAAGCAUCAAAGAUUGAAAUUCAAACUGUAAAGGUUUCAUUUAUGCCUAAAGCAAACAAUGGGUACUUUGCUACCAUGGUGAUGAACACAGCAAAAACACCUUUAUCACUUCUGAUUCUGCAAAUGUGAAGGAGGGCUUGGUGCAACAGUUGAAAGUAAUCUGGCAUUAGACACGUUAUGAGUUCAUACGUUAGAAAAUGGUUUGGAGUUUAUUAAGUAUUGCAAUUGUGCAUAAACCAAAAUACAUCAGCAGUGUUUGAACGCAGAGGUCAUGUCGCACAUAGUAUGUGUACACUCUAUGCUGGUCCUGCAAAGAAUUUAUAAGAUAGGUUGACUGAUCAAGGUUUCCCAACAUUAUAACCAUAAAACUGUUUGGGAAAUGAGUCACCUGCUUAACUAGCACACGUUUGCUCAUAUCAAGAGAGUAAAUAUUCAGCUUUGGAAAACUAAACAAGUUACAUCUUGUGUUCCCCCCCCCCUUCUAAA